AGCAGCCAGGAUGAUCAUGGGACGUUCACAAAGACACAAAGGAAAGUCACUGAAGCAAAAGGAGAGAGAGAGACAGCAAAAGUAAAAGGAUAAACAGAAGAAAACACACAAGCAAGGAGCUGAGCCACCGCCUCAGAUUUUAAGAACCUGAAGACACCUUCAGAUCGGUCUUCCCACUUUAUUAAUCCUGGGUUCUUCUCUGAAUUCAGGAGAAUAUCUCUGAUAAAUUCCCAGAGGAGGCCAUUAAAGACGGAUCUGAAGAUAGGGACCAAAAGGAAAGUCUGUAUCAGUAAAAGAAUACUAUCCAGCAGUGAGGUGCUGAAGGUUGCUGUAAAGAAGUUGGCCGGCUCUCCCAGCUGCCUGGGUGAAUUCGUGCAAAGUCAUGCUGCAUAGGUGUUCGCCAUCGAUGUCAAAGUCCUGGAAAGGUCAGUUUUUUAAUGAACACAACCUUCUUCGUCAGUUGUGGAAUUGUGGCUUUUUGGGUAUGUAGUAAGGUGUUCUUAAAUGAUUCCCAAUUAUCAUUCACAUUUUUCUGUUUAAAUUCUUCCUCCCAGCUGAUUUGGCUCAUAAUUGUUUUCAGCUUUGUGAAAUUAAAGCAUCAAGUACAUAUAUUACUACUCUGGACUUUAUUCUGCUUGCAUAUUAUAAAUGUAAUCCAGUUAUAAG
This is a non-coding RNA of Caretta caretta (loggerhead turtle), 666 nucleotides long. Lineage: Eukaryota; Metazoa; Chordata; Testudines; Cheloniidae. The record is from RefSeq and is a predicted model, not a curated record.